GACGAACGUUGGCGGCGUGCUUAACACAUGCAAGUCGAACGGAAAGGCCCUGCUUUUGUGGGGUGCUCGAGUGGCGAACGGGUGAGUAACACGUGAGUAACCUGCCCUUGACUUUGGGAUAACUUCAGGAAACUGGGGCUAAUACCGGAUAGGAGCUCCUGCUGCAUGGUGGGGGUUGGAAAGUUUCGGCGGUUGGGGAUGGACUCGCGGCUUAUCAGCUUGUUGGUGGGGUAGUGGCUUACCAAGGCUUUGACGGGUAGCCGGCCUGAGAGGGUGACCGGCCACAUUGGGACUGAGAUACGGCCCAGACUCCUACGGGAGGCAGCAGUGGGGAAUAUUGCACAAUGGGCGGAAGCCUGAUGCAGCAACGCCGCGUGCGGGAUGACGGCCUUCGGGUUGUAAACCGCUUUCGCCUGUGACGAAGCGUGAGUGACGGUAAUGGGUAAAGAAGCACCGGCUAACUACGUGCCAGCAGCCGCGGUGAUACGUAGGGUGCGAGCGUUGUCCGGAUUUAUUGGGCGUAAAGGGCUCGUAGGUGGUUGAUCGCGUCGGAAGUGUAAUCUUGGGGCUUAACCCUGAGCGUGCUUUCGAUACGGGUUGACUUGAGGAAGGUAGGGGAGAAUGGAAUUCCUGGUGGAGCGGUGGAAUGCGCAGAUAUCAGGAGGAACACCAGUGGCGAAGGCGGUUCUCUGGGCCUUUCCUGACGCUGAGGAGCGAAAGCGUGGGGAGCGAACAGGCUUAGAUACCCUGGUAGUCCACGCUGUAAACGGUGGGUACUAGGUGUGGGGUCCAUUCCACGGGUUCCGUGCCGUAGCUAACGCUUUAAGUACCCCGCCUGGGGAGUACGGCCGCAAGGCUAAAACUCAAAGGAAUUGACGGGGCCCCGCACAAGCGGCGGAGCAUGCGGAUUAAUUCGAUGCAACGCGUAGAACCUUACCUGGGUUUGACAUGGAUCGGGAGUGCUCAGAGAUGGGUGUGCCUCUUUUGGGGUCGGUUCACAGGUGGUGCAUGCCUGUCGUCAGCUCGUGUCGUGAGAUGUUGGGUUAAGUCCCGCAACGAGCGCAACCCUUGUUCACUGUUGCCAGCACGUUAUGGUGGGGACUCAGUGGAGACCGCCGGGGUCAACUCGGAGGAAGGUGGGGAUGACGUCAAGUCAUCAUGCCCCUUAUGUCCAGGGCUUCACGCAUGCUACAAUGGCUGGUACAGAGAGUGGCGAGCCUGUGAGGGUGAGCGAAUCUCGGAAAGCCGGUCUCAGUUCGGAUUGGGGUCUGCAACUCGACCUCAUGAAGUCGGAGUCGCUAGUAAUCGCAGAUCAGCAACGCUGCGGUGAAUACGUUCCCGGG
RNAcentral lists this ribosomal RNA (1343 nucleotides) under uncultured bacterium. Its description in RNAcentral is "16S ribosomal RNA". It matches the Rfam family "Bacterial small subunit ribosomal RNA", at positions 28 to 1378 of the family's 1533-position model. The record is from RNAcentral.